This 789-nucleotide ribosomal RNA is filed under the name uncultured Bacteroidota bacterium. Its description in RNAcentral is "bacterial SSU rRNA". It matches the Rfam family "Bacterial small subunit ribosomal RNA", at positions 66 to 862 of the family's 1533-position model. The record is from RNAcentral. Lineage: Bacteria; Pseudomonadati; Bacteroidota.
GGGUAGUUACUUUCGGGUAAUGAGACCGGCGCACGGGUGCGUAACGCGUAUGCAAUCUACCUUUUACAGGGGAAUAGCCCAGAGAAAUUUGGAUUAAUGCCCCAUAGUAUGUAUGAAUCGCAUGGUUUAUAUAUUAAAGUUCCAACGGUAAAAGAUGAGCAUGCGUCCCAUUAGUUAGUUGGUAAGGUAACGGCUUACCAAGACGAUGAUGGGUAGGGGUCCUGAGAGGGAGAUCCCCCACACUGGUACUGAGACACGGACCAGACUCCUACGGGAGGCAGCAGUGAGGAAUAUUGGACAAUGGGCGCAAGCCUGAUCCAGCCAUGCCGCGUGCAGGAAGAAGCAUCUAUGGUGUGUAAACUGCUUUUGUACAGGAAGAAACACUCCCUCGUGAGGGAGCUUGACGGUACUGUAAGAAUAAGGAUCGGCUAACUCCGUGCCAGCAGCCGCGGUAAUAUGGAGGGUCCAAGCGUUAUCCGGAAUCAUUGGGUUUAAAGGGUCCGUAGGCGGUUUGAUAAGUCAGUGGUGAAAGCCCAUCGCUCAACGAUGGAACGGCCAUUGAUACUGUCAGACUUGAAUUACAAGGAAGUAACUAGAAUAUGUAGUGUAGCGGUGAAAUGCUUAGAUAUUACAUGGAAUACCAAUUGCGAAGGCAGGUUACUACUUGUGGAUUGACGCUGAUGGACGAAAGCGUGGGGAGCGAACAGGAUUAGAUACCCUGGUAGUCCACGCCGUAAACGAUGGAUACUAGCUGUUGGGAGCAAUCUCAGUGGCUAAGCGAAAGUGAUA